UACGAAGGGGGCUAGCGGUGUUCGGAAUUACUGGGCGUAAAGCGCACGCAGGCGGUUUUAUAAGUCAGGGGUGAAAUCCCGGGGCUCAAGCUCGGAAUUGCCUUUGAUACUGUCUAUCGUGAGUCCGGGAGAGGUGAGUGGAAUUCCUAGUGUAGAGGUGAAAUACGUAGAUAUUAGGAAGAACACCAGUGGCGAAGGCGGCUCACUGGCCCGGUACUGACGCUCAUGUGCGAAAGCGUGGGGAUCAUACAGG
Molecule: ribosomal RNA, 253 nt
Filed under: uncultured bacterium
Lineage: Bacteria
Description: partial 16S ribosomal RNA
Rfam family: Bacterial small subunit ribosomal RNA
Source: RNAcentral